RNAcentral lists this non-coding RNA (38 nucleotides) under Trypanosoma brucei brucei. Lineage: Eukaryota; Euglenozoa; Kinetoplastea; Trypanosomatida; Trypanosomatidae. The record is from RNAcentral.
AUUAACUGUAAAAGGGGAGAGAAGUCCCCAAUAUUUAU